AAACGUAUCCCAUAAUUCUCCCAAUGCCCUCCAAAAGUUUUUCUCGACUAUGAUGGUUUAUGAGUAAUUCAUAUGAAGACCAGGGGCAAUCUAUCAAAUUAAAACUCAGUUCUGUCUGCCAUCUACCUUAUCACUGCCAGCAUCUCAAUUCCUCCAUCACUCGUUUCUUUGUGAAGAAGGGGGGAAAAAAUCAUGGACAGAGAACAAGAAGAGCUCCAGUUUCUCGGGUUCUUUGGCAUCUUCAAAGAAUCCUUCAAGAUCAUCUUGACAUGGAGAAAAAUCUUCAGCCAGAUAAGCCUAGCUCUCAUCCUUCCACUAUCCUUCAUCUUCCUAGCUCAUAUGCAAAUAUCCCAGUUGAUUUUCUUCAAUAUCCUCGACAAUGAAGAUGCCUUAUACUUCACCCAAUCUGGCACACCAAAACACGAUAAACUCUCUCAUAACAUCUCCGCGGAAUGGACUGCCUUUUGGCUCUUCAAAUUUGCCUACUUUACUUUCUUUCUAAUCUUUUCCCUUCUCUCCACAUCUGCAGUUGUUUAUACCAUAGCUUGCAUAUACACUGCCAAGCCAAUCACCUUCAAGAAGAUCAUGAGUGUUGUGCCAAAGGUCUGGAAGAGACUCAUGGUCACCUUUAUAUGGAGUUUUGUUGUUGUUGUGCUCUAUAACAUCAUUGCAGCUGUGGUGUUUGUAACCUUGUGGACUCAAGUUGUUUUUCAUGUAAAUGCAGUCGGAUUUAGAAUUGCGGUUCUUGUUGCUCUUAUCAUCAUAUAUUCCGUGGGGAUGUUGUAUAUCACCAUAGUAUGGCAUCUGGCUAGUGUGGUCUCUGUUUUAGAAGAUGUUUACGGGAUUAAAGCCAUGAUCAAGAGCAAAAACCUAAUCAAGGGCCAGAUGGGAGUUACAGUAGCUGUUUUUAUUGUGGUUGGAGUUUGUUUUGUUGGAAUUCAGCUGCUAUACGAGUUUUUUGUGGUUUUGAACAAGCCAUUGGGAGUCAGAAUUGGAGUGGGAAUAGCUUGCUUCUUCUUGCUGUGUAAGGUGAUGCUCUUCGACCUUGUCAUCCAAACUGUUCUCUACUUUGUGUGCAAAUCGUAUCACCAUGAGAAUAUCAACAAGUCCUCCUUGUCGGAUCAUCUGGAGGUUUAUCUUGGGGAGUAUGUUGCUCUGAAGUCCAAGGAUGUCCAAAUGGAGCAAUUGCAAGUCUAGCUCUUCCUUUCUAUUUUAUCUACAGGUCUUAAAACCAUAUGUAGUCAAUGGUAGCCAAGCAUCCCAGAGUGUGUUGCGGGAUGGUCCAUUGUUGAUUAUUUAGGUAUUAUUGUAAACAAACAAAUAAACUCAAUGCGAUCAUCUCGAUUCUACUUGUGUUUCUAUAUUAUAUUAUAGUAUCACAUCCUAGUCCAUCCCCUUUGCUGUUUAAUUUUAAAAAUAUUUUUAAGAUGGUAUUUUAAAAAAAAUAAUAUUAAAAUAAUAAUAUAUUGGAUCAACCUUGAUUAAUCUAAGUUUUUUUUAUAAAAUUAUUUUUAUUUAAUUAUAUGAUAAAGUAAUAGGUGCUUGCAAAACCGAACACUAACUUAAUAUUGAGAUGUUUUUCUAAGACUACGAUAAUCCUAUAAAAAAUAAAUUAUGAUAUCUAAUUUUCAAUAAUUAUAUUUUUCUAGAAUUAUUUUUAUUUAAUAAUACGAUAAAAAAUAAAUACUUAAAAAAUCAAACACUAACCCAAUACCGAUAUAUUUUUCUAAGAUUGUGAUAACUUUAUAGAAAAUUAAUCGAAAUAAAUCAUGAAGCUCAUAUCAUAAUAAUUAAGUUUUUUUAAUUAUUUUUUUAUUUAAUAAUACAAUAAACAUUUUUUAUUUAAUAAUAUGGUAAAAAUAGAUGAUAAUAAACCUAAUAUCGAGAUAUUUUUUUUCAAGACCACAAAAAGCUCGUAUAAAGGAAACCAAAAUAAAUAAUAAAAUUUAAUUUCUAAUAAAUUUAAUAUUUAAAAGAUGCAAAUAAAAAUAAAAAUAAAUACAUAUUAAUGUUCCAAUAAAUAGUGACAUGUCAGAAGAGGAACAACAAUUUCCCCUCCUCGUUUUGCUUUGUUAACUAGAUUGGUGGUACUAUGCUGCUGGCCAAACCAAACUUAUUUUAAGUGCGAAAAAAAAUAUUUUAAUGAUGGUAAUGUUUUUAAAGAAAUAGAAGAAAUUCAAAAUUUGGGUUAAAUCUUAAUUAAUUUGAUAAUAUGAUAAAAAAAAUUGCAAACAACAACAACAAAAAACAAAAUAUAAUAUUAGGCUGAGUCAAGCUAGAUUAAGACGUGAAAUUCAUAAUCAAUAUAUAAAAUCAGGAUAACCUUAUAGAAGGAUGAAAUAAAAAAACAUAUAAAAAAAGACUUUAAAAAGAGAUAUAAGCCAACUCAGUCCAAUCAUUUAAACCCAUGACCCAAAAGGUUACCAAAAUUCCGAUCAAUAAAAUAUUGAGGGGUGAAAUAAAAAACAAAUCCCAAUAAAAAGGGAUUAAAAAAAAACUAUAUAGCAAUAAAAAAAGGACUAAAUCUGACAUAAAAUAAAAUGAAUUAAAAUAUUGAGGGAUGCAAUUGAAAAGCUAAUUUAAUUAAGAUAGUGAUUAAAAGAAUAACAAUGAAAAUAAUAAGUAUUAAAUUUGAAAGGUAAAAAAAUUAAAAAAGGGUUAAAUCAAAAGAAAAUCCCAUAUCUAUGGAUUAUUUAAAAUAAAAAAAAUAAAGACUAUAUUUGAGAUGAAAAAAAAUAUUAAUGGCUGCUUAGAAAAUAUAUAAGGGAAGCCUUUGAAAUCAAGGAGAGAUGAAACAAAAAAGGGAAAAUAGAAAUGGUUACAAGUGCAAAACCCGAUAUUUUUUAGCCACACGUGCUAUCUAGUAAUGGAGUCGAUGCCUUGAAGAUUAAAAUAUCAUUAUAAAAGCUGGAUUUUGCCCACCGAAUAAUAUUCUACGCAUCGUUCGGAGAGAGCAGGAGCACCUACCCACAUCCAUGUAAAUGACACGUGCAAUUGAUUUUUUUAAAUAAAAUAACAUUUUAUACAUGCCUAAAUACUAAAUUACUCGUGAUUAAACAUGAUAAUUAUAUUUUUAAAAAAAAACAAGUGAAAAAGAUAGAAAAAACAUAUGAUCUAUAAUCUUUAUGUAUUCUAAACCUUCUAGACAUAUUUAUUUAAGAAAACACAGAAAUUUUACAAACUAUUUUCUUCUAAUACAUGUGGCUAUUUUGAAUUAAUUACUUUCCUUUCAUAUAUAAUUUUGACUUUACGAUGGAAAAUAAAAGAAGGAGAAAUGAGAACAAACAUUAAAUAAACCUGUAACAUCGAGUAAGAUUCUGAAAAAAAGAAAUCUCACUAAUUUCUCACUGUGUAGACCUCUCAAUCCCUUAAUUAGUUAGACUUUCAUUAGUUAGAAAAACAAUUUCCAACUCUUUUUUGUUUUGUAUAAAUCGAAAAAUGCAUAAUAAUAAUUGAAAAUUUUCAAACUCAAAGCAAAAUGGGAAGAAUAGGUUAUACAUUAUACUUCAAUUCCCUUCUCCUCCCCCAAAUUAUAAACCAUUCAUUUCUCAGGUAUAAGAACAGAAAAUUGCCCUAUCAACCAAGAUGGGAGAGGCUCAAAAAGCAAGUCCGAAUUCACAUCAUCCCACCACAAAGCCAAUCCAACCCACGUUAAUUAGGUGUAUAUUUGAUAAUUAUAGGGAUUGUUUUUUAAUUUUAAAAAAUUAUUUUUAAUAUUAAGACAUCAAAUAAUUUAAAAUUUUAAAAAUAUUAAUUUAAAAAAAAAUAACGAAACAACGGUUGCAUCGCUGUACCAAUCUGUAUGGGAAAACAAGAAAUCUAAACCUUUAAAUCCCCCUCCCCACCCCUUUUUUUUUCAAUGCUUUUUCUGAAACCCCUUUCUUACAAUUGCAAAAGGUUGUUUUCUUAAUGGAAUCCACCUUCGAAAGACGUCGGUGGAUUAUUGUUUGCAAGAAAAUUGGAAUUCAGAACUCCCUAGAUUGGAUUGGAAUCUUCCUCGUCUGGUUUUUCAUUUGUAAGUCCACGCCAGGUUGACUAAUAAAUGUCCUGCUUUUGAGUUUUGAAUAAUUAAUUUAUUAAUUUGUUGUAAUUCGAGAUGGACACAUGGUGAUGUUUCAUCUUUUUCUCCCUUUUAACCAUUUCUAUUAUAACUAGACUUAAUUAAUUUCAAAUAAUUAAGGGAGAUAUCAAAUGAUUAUAUUGGUUAACACACAACAAAUGAUACGUUUAAGCUUAAGCAAAAAUGAUAUAUAACUGCUGAUUUAUUUUUCAUACAAAAUUUCCAACUUAUGGGAUGGUGACUGGCUAGCUUAAAAUUAACACCAUGUGUCUGCCAUUGCAACAUAGCCAAUCACCCGAUAGUAUAAUUCUCAUAAUCCCUUCAUUACCCUCCAAGAAUCUAUCAAUAUUAUAAUGUUUUACAAGUAAUUCAUAAGAAGACCAUGGGCAAUUUGUCAAAUGAAAGUCCACUUUUGUUUUCUGAAAUCGACCUUUUAAUGCCAUCUAUGGAAAGACUCCAUGCCUCCCUCCAUCACCCAUUUCUUUGUGAAGAAGGAGAGGGAAAAAAUCAUGGACAGAGAACAAGAAGAGCUCCAGUUUCUCGGAUUCUUUGGCAUCUUCAAAGAAUCCUUCAAGAUCAUCUUGACAUGGAGAAAAAUCUUCAGCAAGAUAACCCUAGCUCUCAUCCUUCCACUGUCCUUCAUCUUCCUAGCUCAUAUGCAAAUAUCCCAAAUGAUUUUCUUCAAGAUCCUUGACAAUGAAGAUACCUUAGACUUCACCCAACCCGGCACGCCAAAAUACGAUAUACUCUCUGAUAACAUCUCCUCGGAAUGGACUGCCUUCUGGCUCUUCAAGUUUGCGUACUUCACUUUCCUCCUAAUCUUUUCCCUUCUUUCCACAUCUGCAGUUGUCUAUACCAUAGCUUGCAUAUACACUGCCAAGCCAAUCACCUUCAAGAAGAUCAUGAGUGUUGUGCCAAAGGUCUGGAAGAGACUCAUGGUCACCUUUUUAUGGAGUUUUGUUGUUGUUGUGCUCUAUAACAUCGUUUCCAUAGUGGUUUUGAUCAUCUUGUCUGUUACUCUUUUCAACCAUGUACCUG
RNAcentral lists this long non-coding RNA (5098 nucleotides) under Populus tremula. RNAcentral's name for it is "long non-coding RNA (PTRE_LNC002658)". Lineage: Eukaryota; Viridiplantae; Streptophyta; Magnoliopsida; Malpighiales; Salicaceae. The record is from RNAcentral.